RNAcentral lists this ribosomal RNA (492 nucleotides) under uncultured bacterium. RNAcentral describes it as "partial 16S ribosomal RNA". It matches the Rfam family "Bacterial small subunit ribosomal RNA", at positions 29 to 507 of the family's 1533-position model. The record is from RNAcentral.
AGUGAACGCUGGCGGUAGGCCUAACACAUGCAAGUCGAACGGCAGCACAGUAAGAGCUUGCUCUUACGGGUGGCGAGUGGCGGACGGGUGAGGAAUACAUCGGAAUCUACUUUUUCGUGGGGGAUAACGUAGGGAAACUUACGCUAAUACCGCAUACGACCUACGGGUGAAAGCAGGGGAUCUUCGGACCUUGCGCGAUUGAAUGAGCCGAUGUCGGAUUAGCUAGUUGGCGGGGUAAAGGCCCACCAAGGCGACGAUCCGUAGCUGGUCUGAGAGGAUGAUCAGCCACACUGGAACUGAGACAAGGUCCAGACUCCUACGGGAGGCAGCAGUGGGGAAUAUUGGACAAUGGGCGCAAGCCUGAUCCAGCCAUACCGCGUGGGUGAAGAAGGCCUUCGGGUUGUAAAGCCCUUUUGUUGGGAAAGAAAAGCAGCAGGUUAAUACCCCGCUGUUCUGACGGUACCUAAAGAAUAAGCACCGGCUAACUUCGUG